UGCGCAGGCGGGCUUGUAAGUCAGUGGUGAAAUACUGCCGCUUAACGGUAGAACUGCCAUUGAUACUGCGAGUCUUGAAUAUGGUUGAGGUAGGCGGAAUGUGUUGUGUAGCGGUGAAAUGCAUAGAUAUGACACAGAACGCCAAUUGCGAAGGCAGCUUACUAAGCCAUUAUUGACGCUGAGGCACGAAAGCGUGGGAAGCGAACAGGAUUAGAUACCCUGGUAGUCC
Molecule: ribosomal RNA, 229 nt
Filed under: uncultured bacterium
Lineage: Bacteria
Description: partial 16S ribosomal RNA
Rfam family: Bacterial small subunit ribosomal RNA
Source: RNAcentral